RNAcentral lists this ribosomal RNA (485 nucleotides) under uncultured bacterium. RNAcentral's name for it is "partial 16S ribosomal RNA". It matches the Rfam family "Bacterial small subunit ribosomal RNA", at positions 30 to 506 of the family's 1533-position model. The record is from RNAcentral.
AUUGAACGCUGGCGGCAUGCCUUACACAUGCAAGUCGAACGGCAGCACGGGUGCUUGCCCCUGGUGGCGAGUGGCGAACGGGUGAGUAAUACAUCGGAACAUGUCCUGUAGUGGGGGAUAGCCCGGCGAAAGCCGGAUUAAUACCGCAUACGAUCUACGGAUGAAAGCGGGGGACCUUCGGGCCUCGCGCUAUAGGGUUGGCCGAUGGCUGAUUAGCUAGUUGGUGGGGUAAAGGCCUACCAAGGCGACGAUCAGUAGCUGGUCUGAGAGGACGACCAGCCACACUGGGACUGAGACACGGCCCAGACUCCUACGGGAGGCAGCAGUGGGGAAUUUUGGACAAUGGGCGAAAGCCUGAUCCAGCAAUGCCGCGUGUGUGAAGAAGGCCUUCGGGUUGUAAAGCACUUUUGUCCGGAAAGAAAUCCUUGGCUCUAAUACAGUCGGGGGAUGACGGUACCGGAAGAAUAAGCACCGGCUAACUACGU